CUGCAAGCGAAGAGACUAGAACACCCAAGGCCGCUUUCCUUUUAUGGAGUUGUUUUUCUGCUAAUGCAGCACUGUCCUCACAACCCCCUCCUGUAAGUUUUAGAGAAUAUAUACCCAUCCUCACAGCAAAUAUUUGGAAUCUCUUGAUGUGAGCUGCGUUGAGAGUUUGUCUCUGUCUCAAUAAAAGUUCACUGAUUCCCCAUCUGCAGCAGGAUCCGCUCCAGGUCAAACUGGAACGGGAGGGAGGACAUCGGCCGUGGUCUGAGUGAACGGAGUUUGGACAAAAGCUGUGUACACACAAAAAACAAGUGUCUUCAUACAGGUGUUUUUUCUUAACCUGGAAGCCUGAGUACGGCAGCAGAAGACAGGCCAAGCUUUGGCUAAAAUUCACGGCUGGACACCAGAGUUGUCCUCACCCCUCCCGGUAAAACAAAAAAGAGAGAAUGUAGUUUGAGGCGGGUUUUUCUUGCUGAACCGCUCUGGGUGCUGUGUCCCUGAAUCUCACCGGUGUUAACCUCUGGCGGAAGACAUGGAGAAAAGGAAAAGAUGUUCCUGGUAAAUCACUGAAACAAAUAAAACCACACACAACCAGAGAAAGAUAUGAGAAGGGUGAGGAACAGACACAUGUGCGUGUUAGAGACAUGCCUCGUUUGAGAAAAAGUUAAAGUAACCCAUAUACAGACGCACCCAUACAUGCAAUGAAGAAACAGCUUACAUACAUGUGCACGUACAUGCAAGGUUAAAGUAGCGACACUUAACAUACACCUGUUUUUAAAUGAUAUAGUUUAUACAUUACUGACAAUUAAACGCUUUGGGUUGCAGGACAACAACGUAACGUUAAAAGACAAAGACACUGGUCUGAGGAUUAAGUGAGGACACGACAAAUUUAGUGGUUAAAAGGGUCGACUUGGGACAUGUUUUUGUUGAUUGUUUAAGACAAAUGACUACUGAAUGAUAGGAAAUUCCUUUUUAGGUUUCUAAACAGGAUCUUAAGAAUUUUAACACGUACCUGUGUUGUCCUGUCAACUUGAGGGGUUAGGAGUUGAUUAUAUGGUGAAAAAAAAAAAAAAAAAAAAAAAAAAAAACAAAAACAAAAAAGGGGGGAGACGAGAUCUCGUUGUUUCUCCCCUCUCGGGAUAACACAGCCAACACAGCACAGCCAACACAACAUCAUUUUCCUGUUCGCCUGUUUUGUUUUGUUUUUGUUUUUUCUGAGAGCCGAAGCUGACCUGGACUCCUACCCUCCCCUCUACCAUCGUUGCCCUCUCCGCGACCAUCUUUGACCCUUUGACCCCUGAAGGCCACAGCAGCUGGACUCACAACAACAACUUGAGGAUGUCAACAGUGCUGCAAAAGAGUGAUCUCAUGCAGCAGAGACGGAGAGCACUAAACCUAAAGCCCGUUUCACUACACGGGGGAAAUUCCCAGGCUGCGUCAGCUGACAGAGCUGUGACGAGACGCGCAUUAAGCCCGGAGGAAAAGGGACGGUGAGCAGAAGGAUGCUGACCUCUGAGAAGAGCCGAACAGCAGAGCUGCAGAAGGCCGUGGAGCAAAGUAAGGAAGAUGCAGGCAGCUGCAACAACGGAUGAAAACAGACCCAAAGAGGAGGGGAGGACCCUAGGCCAUGCGUCAGGCCGCUGGUUUACCUAAACUACAGAACAGAAAGAUCUGCACAUCGGAAAUUACAAGCAUUACACGUCGGCGAGAAAAUUGUUGUAAGUGAGUUUCUCCGCAUUGAAAUGGGUUCUGGAGGAAACACUUGUGGGGACAAUUAGAAACGAGAGUCCCUGUUUAAAAAAGGAUUCGGCGAGGUAAUCCAAACUCAAGUUCUUGUUUCUUUUUGAGAUGACGUCAUUUUGCUGAGUGUGGAAACUAGAUGCGACGACAGGUUUCACUAUCAGCAAAGAACGGAUGAAUGGAUGAAAGACUGGGAAUAAAAACAAACGGACUGACUGGACAGCUGUUACUGCUUUCAUCGGGAACCGAGACUGCUUGCAGCCGACCCCUGGGCAGGGUGGUGCCUGGACUCUUUUCUCCUCAUCUGCAAUGACAGAUAAAGACAAAUGAAAAGACCCGAGGAGUUUUUCGAGCCAGGCUUCGACACGUCUCUGUGUUCCUUUGAUUGUUACUUAUUUUUGUGUGUUGACCCAUUUAAGAUGGGUCAAAAGGGGGAUUUGAAGAAAAUAUAAUCUGAUCAAACAUUAUUCAGCUUUAAAUAUUGUUCAGCUUUAAACAUUAUUCAGCUUUAAAUAUUGUUCAGCUUUAAACAUUAUUCAGCUUUAAAUAUUGUUCAGCUUUAAACAUUAUUCAGCUUUAAAUAUUGUUCAGCUUUAAAGUUACUGUGCAACUGUGUAAUAAAAAUGUGCUCACGACUUUGGCCUUGAGAGCGAUAAGAAGCGAUCGCCUCAUCCUGCAGGUGAAAGAUAUCUGCAAGCGAAGAGACUAGAACACCCAAGGCCGCUUUCCUUUUAUGGAGUUGUUUUUCUGCUAAUGCAGCACUGUCCUCACAACCCCCUCCUGUAAGUUUUAGAGAAUAUAUACCCAUCCUCACAGCAAAUAUUUGGAAUCUCUUGAUGUGAGCUGCGUUGAGAGUUUGUCUCUGUCUCAAUAAAAGUUCACUGAUUCCCCAUCUGCAGCAGGUGUCCGGUUGUCUUCAUUCUCCGCCAGCCUGGUUAAGUCAAUUCCUCCUUAACAUCUAAAAGAACCUAUUUAAUGAAGGAAGACGGGUUCACUUUGUGUUUAAUAUUAUUCUAUUGCUGUUGUUGUUUUUUUUGUAUCCUUCAGCAUGUA
Molecule: long non-coding RNA, 2790 nt
Organism: Astatotilapia calliptera (eastern happy)
Lineage: Eukaryota; Metazoa; Chordata; Actinopteri; Cichliformes; Cichlidae
Source: Ensembl